UAAGGAAUAUUGGACAAUGGACGGAAGUCUGAUCCAGCCAUCCCGCGUGGAGGAAUAAGGCCCUAUGGGUUGUAAACUCCUUUAGCAGGGGAAUAAAAAGGUCAUUCAUGAUCAAUUGAAGGUACCCUGAGAAUAAGCACCGGCUAACUCCGUGCCAGCAGCCGCGGUAAUACGGAGGGUGCAAGCGUUAUCCGGAUUUACUGGGUUUAAAGGGUGCGUAGGCGGACUAUUAAGUCAAAUGUGAAAGCUUGCAGCUCAACUGUAAGAUUGCGUUUGAUACUGGUAGUCUUGAAUAUGGUAGAAGUUGGCGGAAUAAAUCAUGUAGCGGUGAAAUGCUUAGAUAUGAUUUAGAACACCGAUUGCGAAGGCAGCUAGCUAUGUCAUAAUUGACGCUGAGGCACGAAAGCGUGGGGAUCAAACAGG
Molecule: ribosomal RNA, 423 nt
Filed under: uncultured Bacteroidota bacterium
Lineage: Bacteria; Pseudomonadati; Bacteroidota
Description: bacterial SSU rRNA
Rfam family: Bacterial small subunit ribosomal RNA
Source: RNAcentral